Molecule: non-coding RNA, 529 nt
Organism: Peromyscus maniculatus bairdii (prairie deer mouse)
Lineage: Eukaryota; Metazoa; Chordata; Mammalia; Rodentia; Cricetidae
Source: RefSeq, a predicted model, not a curated record
GAAGAGAGAAGUAGUACAAUGGUCAGAUCCAGCUGGAGGUGAUGACGAAGAAACGCGGAGGAAAAGAAGUGUGGAUUGGAGAGAAGUAGGGAGAGUCCUGACGAGUCUGUACAAAAGAUGAUCUAGAAGACAGUCCUAACAAGGUGACAGAGGAGAGGAACUGGGCACUCGCUCCAAUUUCCCACUACCACAAAGAAAACUAAAAAAACAACUAUCAGCUGCUAUUCAGUUAGAGCACCUUGGAGGAGCACUGGAAUAUAGCUUGUAUAUGGAGAGACUGAAGAAUAUGGAGAUGGAAGAAAAACAGCCUGUGCCACAUGCUCCCACCAUCCUGAUUUCCACCAGCUGCGCGGAUCCAAACUUCCCUGUGCUAAACUGUGAACCUAGAUAAAUCCUCUUUCCUCUUAAGCUAUUUCUGUCAGGUUGUCACAACAAUGAAAACAGUAGCUAACACAGGACAUAGAAGUAUGAAAAAGCAGAACUGGCACCUCCAGGGGAACACGACCCUAACAAAGAAGAAAUUAACGGA